RNAcentral lists this long non-coding RNA (403 nucleotides) under Sinocyclocheilus anshuiensis. RNAcentral's name for it is "lncRNA (ENSSANG00000014236.1)". Lineage: Eukaryota; Metazoa; Chordata; Actinopteri; Cypriniformes; Cyprinidae. The record is from RNAcentral.
GAUUUAAUGAGUAUGGGGGAGGUAAAUGGUAGAAAUAGCAAUGUGAACUACAUUUCCCAUGACCCCCUUCAGUCAACAUGUUUGAAUACUCACAUCAGAGCAGCAUUUUCUUGUUCAAUGUGUUGUUGCUUCUCCUCCAUGGAUUUGACACAAGCUUCAAAAACAUCAACAAACAACUUUAAGAAGUUACCUGAGCAGUUUCCCAACCACCAUUAUGCUACAGAAAUGCUGGAACAACAACACGGACAACCAAACGUCCUUUGGGAAGCAGAUCGCAUUUGGAUUGGGUUUUGUUCGGGCUGAGAUUCCAGAAAAUUCAGAAGACUCUAUGUUCCAGCUCUGACGCGGCUCACCUUCACCUCUCGAUUACUCACUUAAAUCCCUUCCUUCACCUCAUCAAGAA